Molecule: small nucleolar RNA, 99 nt
Filed under: Strongylocentrotus purpuratus (purple sea urchin)
Lineage: Eukaryota; Metazoa; Echinodermata; Echinoidea; Camarodonta; Strongylocentrotidae
Description: small nucleolar RNA SNORD14
Rfam family: Small nucleolar RNA SNORD14
About the family: U14 small nucleolar RNA (U14 snoRNA) is required for early cleavages of eukaryotic precursor rRNAs. In yeasts, this molecule possess a stem-loop region (known as the Y-domain) which is essential for function.
Source: Rfam by way of RNAcentral
CAGCUAUGAUGAAUUUUAUUCCAAUCAUUCGCAGUUUCCACCAUAAAGGCUUCUUAGUCUUAAUGAUGGCUGAAGAUCCUUCCUUGGAUGUCUGAGCUG